CCAUAAUCUAAAGAUAUGGAUUUUUCUUAUUAAAACAAUGAGAUUUGAUUGACAUUUUUGCUACAAAUUACACAACAACAAAAGGAGAAAUAAGAGAAAAAAAAUUUAGCAAUUUGUCCAUUACAGGCUCUGGUAGUGAGUGGUUGGAUCAGUGAAGAUAAGAAUUAGGAGAAGAAGAAUAAUGAGUCCCUCUAAUAAACUGGCAGAUGGAAGAAGCCAUGACUUGCAUCAUCUCUUCGGCGAAUCUCAGAACCUCAGGUCGCACAAACAUUGCCCAUAGACCCACCACUGCAAGCACUAUUUCUGUUCCCAAGCUCAUCAUCUCUCUCUGUGAAUGUUCAUUACAUUUUUAGACAAAAUAAAACAGAAGGCAGCUAGAGGGGACGGGAAGAACUAUCUAGGACGUAUUUUUGUGUCUCAGCCGCAUGAUACCUCCACCAGUAAAGUGUAUAUCAGUCUGCAGGAAAUGGAAGUUAAAAAGAGUUGGCAAUGGAAUUAGAUGUUUUACAUGUAAUGGUAUCAUAC
This 525-nucleotide unclassified non-coding RNA is filed under the name Hevea brasiliensis (rubber tree). The record is from RNAcentral. Lineage: Eukaryota; Viridiplantae; Streptophyta; Magnoliopsida; Malpighiales; Euphorbiaceae.